RNAcentral lists this ribosomal RNA (253 nucleotides) under uncultured bacterium. RNAcentral describes it as "partial 16S ribosomal RNA". It matches the Rfam family "Bacterial small subunit ribosomal RNA", at positions 524 to 776 of the family's 1533-position model. The record is from RNAcentral.
GACGAACCGAGCGAACGUUGUUCGGAAUCACUGGGCUUAAAGGGCGCGUAGGCGGCUCUCUUGGUCGUGGGUGAAAUCCCCCAGCUUAACUGGGGAAGGGCUUACGAUACCGGGGGGCUCGAGGGAGGAAGGGGCGGUCGGAACUGUCGGUGGAGCGGUGAAAUGCGUUGAUAUCGACAGGAACGCCGGUGGCGAAAGCGGACCGCUGGCCCUCUUCUGACGCUGAGGCGCGAAAGCCAGGGGAGCGAACGGG